This is an RNA transcript of Helianthus annuus (common sunflower), 2014 nucleotides long. RefSeq lists it as uncharacterized. The transcript has 9 exons. The record is from RefSeq and is a predicted model, not a curated record. Lineage: Eukaryota; Viridiplantae; Streptophyta; Magnoliopsida; Asterales; Asteraceae.
CUUAAAUGUAAUCCUCUGUUAUAAUUUUUUUACUUCCCCUUAAAAUGAAAUUCCCUCCCUCCUUUAUUUCUCCCAAAUUUUGAUUUCCUCAUUUCCCCAUCCAAAAAUUGAGCGCUCACAUUUUAACUGAUUUCCCUCAUUCAUCCCCCUUUAGCCCUAAAUGAGUUCCUCUCCUAUUGGUGUUUCCCUCCCUUAACACUCCAUCGCACCACCGCUUUAAUUUUAGAAGAUAUCGUCUUCGCACGGACUGUGCGAGUGGAUUGGGUUGGCUAGUAUUUGUGAUCCCAAUUGCUAUUAUCAUAUAGCUACGACCUUCAGGUUUGAUUUUUUUUCCCUAUUGAUUGUGCUUAUAAACCUAAAUAUAUAUGACCUGGAUUAGGGUAUUUUCUAGUAUAUCACCUAAUUGCUUCUAGCCUUCUAUUGAUUCUUAGGGUAAAAAUCUUAUUAAAGCUAUAUCAUGUUUUGUACAUGAACUGUUUGAUGAUUUGUUUAAGGCAUUAUGGUUUCUUUUUAAUGAAGUGUAGUGUUCAUUGUGUUGAAUAUAUGAAGAAAUCAUAAUGAGCGGCGAUGGAAUUGGGAUAGAGGUUGGAAAAUUAAUAAAGGUCCUGAGAAAAAAAUGUUUUCUGUAUGAUCAUGGUGAAUGUGUUUAAAUGAGAAGCAACAAGAAGAAGAUUUGCUUUCAGGUUAAUGAUUUGUGGAUUUGUAAUUGAGUAACAUCUUUCGGUACUUGACAUAUUUAAAUUUGUUUCUUACUUAAAAGUGAUAGUUAAUUGGAUUCAUAUAAUUCACUAUGAGAUGAUGUUUGACCUUUUUCUUGGUUUUGGUGGUUGCCCCAAUCAUAUGGUCUAGAAAAUCAGGCAUCUUUGCCAGAGAACGAGUUUUAGAAAACCUGACGUCCUCCGCUCCUCCAAGUUCCACCUCAGAAUCACUCUCUUUAUCGUCUUGUGCAUCGCCGGAGACCGGUGUAACAGAUAUCACUGUGAUGUGGCAGACCAGAGACUUGCUCAACAUAGUGACAAAGGAAACGAAGAUGGGUUGCUCAUCUGCAAUGUGGCUUUUCGCUCAAACCUAUUGGCUCUUAUAAUGGAUUCUUGCACUUGUAUCACCUCUCAAGUUUACCAACUCUCUCCCUCAUUUCUCAACAAGGAUUAGAUUAUGCAACAGUGGGAGAAAUCCUGCUAUAUUAGCGUGAUAGCAUGUGCGAACAACGGGAGUUCUUUAGUUAAGGGUACCCAAUACAUUCAGCAGUGUUACAAAGUCAGUGAAUCAUUUUCUUUUUAGUGGAUAAAUAAUAAAUAGAGAGAAAGGUUCCAUAUCACUGCUAUGGCAACUGCGAGAACCAGAUGGGCAAUUGUUAUGUCCCGUGGUGCUGGAUUCUCUGACCAGGUCAAAAUAUUUCUUUUGUUAUUUACAUGAGCAAUUUAUUUGAUUUUGUAUUAAUGUGAUCCUAGGUUGUGGAACCGGACUUGUUGUAUCCAAAUGAAGGUAUGCAUAAACGAUGGGAUGCUGGGUAUAGGAUAACAUUAACUGCAUCUACAUCAAACCAAGCUGCUUUUGUUCUUAGCAUCCGAGAAGAAAACUUGCAGAUGAUACACAGGACACACUUUGCACUUCUGUGUUUCCUAGCACACAUGUCAAGGGCAAUGGCCAUGUAUGCUUCACAAAGUGGUGCCAACAUAAGGGUUAAACUCAUCUGGAUUAACGCUAGGUGUCCACGUCAGCCAGGAGGUACUGAAUGCGGCUACUAUGUGAUGAACUUCAUGAAGGAGAUAGCUUACGAAGCAGUUGAAAUACUUGACAAUGAUAAUGUUGGGAAAGGAGUAGAGGAAUACUCGGCUGCGGAUAUGGAUGGCAUUUGUGAAGAUUGGUCGACUUAUGCCGUUAACUCUAUUUUUAAGUUAUAAAUCGUAUUUUAGGUGUUGAUAAUGUAUUGACAAACAAUUCUUUUUUUGUUAACGUUAAAAUAUUUGUAGUAUACUUGACAAAUGAUUAUGUAAUGGAUUGUUUUGGUAUA